This 632-nucleotide ribosomal RNA is filed under the name Mycolicibacterium sp. Its description in RNAcentral is "bacterial SSU rRNA". It matches the Rfam family "Bacterial small subunit ribosomal RNA", at positions 105 to 750 of the family's 1533-position model. The record is from RNAcentral. Lineage: Bacteria; Bacillati; Actinomycetota; Actinomycetes; Mycobacteriales; Mycobacteriaceae.
GGUGAGUAACACGUGGGUGAUCUGCCCUGCACUUCGGGAUAAGCCUGGGAAACUGGGUCUAAUACCGGAUAUACCUCAGUGGUUGCAUGACUGUUGGGGGAAAGCUUUUGCGGUGUGGGAUGGGCCCGCGGCCUAUCAGCUUGUUGGUGGGGUGAUGGCCUACCAAGGCGUCGACGGGUAGCCGGCCUGAGAGGGUGUCCGGCCACACUGGGACUGAGAUACGGCCCAGACUCCUACGGGAGGCAGCAGUGGGGAAUAUUGCACAAUGGGCGCAAGCCUGAUGCAGCGACGCCGCGUGGGGGAUGACGGCCUUCGGGUUGUAAACCUCUUUCAGUAGGGACGAAGCGCAAGUGACGGUACCUACAGAAGAAGCACCGGCCAACUACGUGCCAGCAGCCGCGGUAAUACGUAGGGUGCGAGCGUUGUCCGGAAUUACUGGGCGUAAAGAGCUUGUAGGUGGUUUGUCGCGUUGUUCGUGAAAUCUCACGGCUUAACUGUGAGCGUGCGGGCGAUACGGGCAGACUAGAGUACUGCAGGGGAGACUGGAAUUCCUGGUGUAGCGGUGGAAUGCGCAGAUAUCAGGAGGAACACCGGUGGCGAAGGCGGGUCUCUGGGCAGUAACUGACGCUGAG